Molecule: long non-coding RNA, 135 nt
Filed under: Dasypus novemcinctus (nine-banded armadillo)
Lineage: Eukaryota; Metazoa; Chordata; Mammalia; Cingulata; Dasypodidae
Description: Rhabdomyosarcoma 2 associated transcript conserved region 2 (ENSDNOG00000031182.1)
Rfam family: Rhabdomyosarcoma 2 associated transcript conserved region 2
Source: RNAcentral
UUCUCACACUGAUGGAGUAAGUAAUAGAAUGGGUUGCCAACUGUAGUUGCUCCUCUCAGCGCAGAAUGCCUGCAGACAGUAUAUCCAGGCAUCACUAAAGAAGUCUGCCCAGGGUGAAACUAAUACCUUUGAGGU